CUGAAGGGCGGGCCAUUCUGGAUGAGAGCCUGAGAGGUUCGAGCCGAGCACACAGUGCGAGACAACGUCGACGGAACGGCGACGACCCGAAGGGAGAGCGACGCGAAUCAUCCUGAAGGGCGGGCCA
Molecule: small RNA, 127 nt
Filed under: Oleiphilus sp. HI0066
Lineage: Bacteria; Pseudomonadati; Pseudomonadota; Gammaproteobacteria; Oceanospirillales; Oleiphilaceae
Also listed under: 1 other name
Description: RtT sRNA
Rfam family: RtT RNA
About the family: This family represents a bacterial cis-regulatory element known as RtT RNA. The exact function of RtT is unknown although it is thought that it may be involved in changing the cellular response in relation to amino acid starvation.
Source: RNAcentral